Molecule: ribosomal RNA, 672 nt
Filed under: uncultured bacterium
Lineage: Bacteria
Description: bacterial SSU rRNA
Rfam family: Bacterial small subunit ribosomal RNA
Source: RNAcentral
GAGUUUGAUCCUGGCUCAGGAUGAACGCUGGCGGCGUGCUUAACACAUGCAAGUCGAACGAAGCACUCUUUUAGAUUUCCUUCGGGGAGGAAGAAAUUGUGACUGAGUGGCGGACGGGUGAGUAACGCGUGGGCAACCUGCCCCAUACAGGGGGAUAACAGCCGGAAACGGCUGCUAAAACCGCAUAAGCGCACAAGGGCCGCAUGGCCUGGUGUGAAAAACUCCGGUGGUAUGGGAUGGACCCGCGUCCGAUUAGGUAGUUGGUAGGGUAGAGGCCUACCAAGCCUGCGAUCGGUAGCCGGCCUGAGAGGGUGGACGGCCACAUUGGGACUGAGACACGGCCCAAACUCCUACGGGAGGCAGCAGUGGGGGAUAUUGCACAAUGGGCGAAAGCCUGAUGCAGCGACGCCGCGUGGGUGAAGAAGUACCUCGGUACGUAAAGCCCUAUCAGCAGGGAAGAAAAUGACGGUACCUGACUAAGAAGCUCCGGCUAAAUACGUGCCAGCAGCCGCGGUAAUACGUAUGGAGCAAGCGUUAUCCGGAUUUACUGGGUGUAAAGGGAGCGUAGGCGGCAUACCAAGCCUGAUGUGAAAACCCGGGGCCCAACCCCGGGAGUGCAUUGGGAACUGGCAAGCUAGAGUGUCGGAGAGGCAGGCGGAAUUCCUAGUGUAG